RNAcentral lists this ribosomal RNA (460 nucleotides) under uncultured bacterium. Its description in RNAcentral is "partial 16S ribosomal RNA". It matches the Rfam family "Bacterial small subunit ribosomal RNA", at positions 338 to 795 of the family's 1533-position model. The record is from RNAcentral.
CCUACGUGAGGCAGCAGUGAGGAAUAUUGGUCAAUGGGCGCGAGCCUGAACCAGCCAAGUAGCGUGAAGGAUGACUGCCCUACGGGUUGUAAACUUCUUUUAUAAAGGAAUAAAGUGAGGCACGUGUGCCUUUUUGUAUUUACUUUAUGAAUAAGGAUCGGCUAACUCCGUGCCAGCAGCCGCGGUAAUACGGAGGAUCCGAGCGUUAUCCGGAUUUAUUGGGUUUAAAGGGAGCGGAGAUGGGUUGUUAAGUCAGUUGUGAAAGUUUGCGGCUUAACCGUAAAAUUGCAAUUGAUACUGGCAGCCUUGAGUACAGUUGAGGUAGGCGGAAUUCGUGGUGUAGCGGUGAAAUGCUUAGAUAUCACGAAGAAAUCCGAUUGCGAAGGCAGCCUACUAAACUGCCACUGACAUUGAUGCUCGAAAGUGUGGGUAUCAAACAGGAUUAGAUACCCCUGUAGUC